GGCGGACGGGUGAGUAACGCGUAAGGAACUUGCCUCUUGGACUGGGACAACUGUUGGAAACGACAGCUAAUACCGGAUAUUAUGAGAUUCUCGCAUGAGAAACUUAUGAAAGCUAUAUGCGCCAAGAGAGAGCCUUGCGUUCCAUUAGCUAGUUGGUGGGGUAACGGCCCACCAAGGCGACGAUGGAUAGCCGGCCUGAGAGGGUGAACGGCCACAAGGGGACUGAGACACGGCCCUUACUCCUACGGGAGGCAGCAGUGGGGAAUAUUGGACAAUGGGCCACAAGCCUGAUCCAGCAAUUCUGUGUGCACGAUGAAGGUCUUCGGAUUGUAAAGUGCUUUCAGUUGGGAAGAAGAAAGUGACGGUACCAACAGAAGAAGCGACGGCUAAAUACGUGCCAGCAGCCGCGGUAAUACGUAUGUCGCAAGCGUUAUCCGGAUUUAUUGGGCGUAAAGCGCGUCUAGGCGGAAAAAUAAGUCUGAUGUUAAAAUGCGGGGCUCAACUCCGUAUUGCGUUGGAAACUGUUUUUCUAGAGUACUGGAGAGGUGGGCGGAACUACAAGUGUAGAGGUGAAAUUCGUAGAUAUUUGUAGGAAUGCCGAUGGAGAAGUCAGCUCACUGGACAGAUACUGACGCUGAAGCGCGAAAGCGUGGGGAGCAAACAGGAUUAGAUACCCUGGUAGUCCACGCCGUAAACGAUGAUCACUAGGUGUUGGGG
This 717-nucleotide ribosomal RNA is filed under the name uncultured bacterium. RNAcentral's name for it is "bacterial SSU rRNA". It matches the Rfam family "Bacterial small subunit ribosomal RNA", at positions 97 to 828 of the family's 1533-position model. The record is from RNAcentral.